AGCAGCCGCGGUAAUUCCAGCUCCAAUAGCGUAUAUUAAAGUUGUUGCAGUUAAAAAGCUCGUAGUUGAAUUUCGGGGUCAGUAGGUUGGUCAUGCCACUGGUAUGUACUGGCCUCACUGAUUCCUCCUUCCUGAUGAGCCGUAAUGCCAUUAAUUUGGUGUUGCGAGGAAUCUGGACUGUUACUUUGAAAAAAUUAGAGUGUUUAAAGCAGGCUAACGCUUGAAUACAUUAGCAUGGAAUGAUGAAAUAGGACGUUCGAUCUUAUUUUGUUGGUUUCUAAGAUUGACGUAAUGAUUAAUAGGGAUAGUUGGGGGCAUUAGUAUUCAAUUGUCAGAGGUGAAAUUCUUGGAUUUAUUGAAGACUAACUACUGCGAAAGCAUUUGCCAAGGAUGUUUUCAUUAAUCAAGAACGAAAGUUAGGGGAUCGAAGACGAUCAGAUACCGUCGUAGUCUUAACCAUAAACUAUGCCGACUAGGGAUCGGAUGAUGUUAAUUUUUUAAUGACUCAUUCGGCGCCUUACG
Molecule: ribosomal RNA, 522 nt
Filed under: uncultured Glomus
Lineage: Eukaryota; Fungi; Glomeromycota; Glomeromycetes; Glomerales; Glomeraceae
Description: SSU rRNA
Rfam family: Eukaryotic small subunit ribosomal RNA
Source: RNAcentral